CUGAAUUAUUCACCCAUGUCUUUUGCGCACUUCUUGUUUCCUGGGCGGGUUCGCCCGCCACCAGGACCAAACCAUAAACCUUUUUGUAAUUGCAAUCAGCGUCAGUAAACAAUGUAAUUAUUACAACUUUCAACAACGGAUCUCUUGGUUCUGGCAUCGAUGAAGAACGCAGCGAAAUGCGAUACGUAGUGUGAAUUGCAGAAUUCAGUGAAUCAUCGAAUCUUUGAACGCACAUUGCGCCCUUUGGUAUUCCAAAGGGCAUGCCUGUUCGAGCGUCAUUUGUACCCUCAAGCUUUGCUUGGUGUUGGGCGUCUUGUCUCUCACGAGACUCGCCUUAAAAUCAUUGGCAGCCGACCUACUGGUUUCGGAGCGCAGCACAAUUCUUGCACUUUGAAUCAGCCUUGGUUGAGCAUCCAUCAAGACCCUAUUUUUUUUAACUUUUGACCUCGGAUCAGGUAGGGAUACCC
Molecule: ribosomal RNA, 467 nt
Filed under: Stemphylium solani
Lineage: Eukaryota; Fungi; Ascomycota; Dothideomycetes; Pleosporales; Pleosporaceae
Description: eukaryotic LSU rRNA
Rfam family: 5.8S ribosomal RNA (bases 125-278)
Source: RNAcentral